AUGAACGCUGGCGGCGUGCCUAAUACAUGCAAGUCGAGCGAACAGACGAGGAGCUUGCUCCUCUGACGUUAGCGGCGGACGGGUGAGUAACACGUGGAUAACCUACCUAUAAGACUGGGAUAACUUCGGGAAACCGGAGCUAAUACCGGAUAAUAUAUUGAACCGCAUGGUUCAAUAGUGAAAGACGGUUUUGCUGUCACUUAUAGAUGGAUCCGCGCCGCAUUAGCUAGUUCGUAAGGUAACGGCUUACCAAGGCAACGAUGCGUAGCCGACCUGAGAGGGUGAUCGGCCACACUGGAACUGAGACACGGUCCAGACUCCUACGGGAGGCAGCAGUAGGGAAUCUUCCGCAAUGGGCGAAAGCUUGACGGAGCAACGCCGCGUGAGUGAUGAAGGUCUUCGGAUCGUAAAACUCUGUUAUUAGGGAAGAACAAAUGUGUAAGUAACUAUGCACGUCUUGACGGUACCUAAUCAGAAAGCCACGGCUAACUACGUG
Molecule: ribosomal RNA, 496 nt
Filed under: uncultured bacterium
Lineage: Bacteria
Description: partial 16S ribosomal RNA
Rfam family: Bacterial small subunit ribosomal RNA
Source: RNAcentral